This 74-nucleotide transfer RNA is filed under the name Candidatus Helarchaeota archaeon. RNAcentral describes it as "tRNA-Val". It matches the Rfam family "tRNA". Rfam says of the family: Transfer RNA (tRNA) molecules are approximately 80 nucleotides in length. The record is from RNAcentral. Lineage: Archaea; Promethearchaeati; Candidatus Helarchaeota.
GGACUUGUGGUCUAGCUGGUUAUGACGCUGCCUUCACGUGGCAGAAGUCCUGGGUUCGAAUCCCAGCAAGUCCA